Molecule: non-coding RNA, 884 nt
Organism: Macaca mulatta (Rhesus monkey)
Lineage: Eukaryota; Metazoa; Chordata; Mammalia; Primates; Cercopithecidae
Source: RefSeq, a predicted model, not a curated record
GGUGAUAAUAAGGUGAUUUAUUACUCACAAUGCAGGAACAAUAGUGAACAUAGCAACAUUCUGACUUGAAACCUCUCUUCUGAUCCAGGAACAAGUAUCCUGAGCUGCCGUUCAUGAUUCAGGUUGGCACCAAUCAAAUUGGAAGCACAUUAAUUAUACAUUACUGUUUCUGAGCCACAGUUUUUUUUGUUUUUAUCUGCUAAAGACGUGAAGAAUGGGAACACUACCGUUGCAUCUCCCAGACCCAGAGAAGAAUGUUCACUCCCAUGUUCUCACCUUUUUUUCGUCUUUAUUUGAUGACUAUAACUUUGUCAUUCAUAUUUUUUAAAAAUUGUGGGUGGAUGUUUUGAAUUUUUUAAAGAUACACAGUAAAUAUCAACUUCUUAAAUUUUCCCUCGCUGCUUCCAGAGGAGGCUGGUAUAUUUUUUCUCUGGUCAACAAAGAGAGAAGUAUCAAGUUUUAGGUGAAUGCCCAAAGAGUCCACUAAUACUUACUGCUCAAUAAAUUGCUUCACUCGAUAAUGAACACCGUGCCUGAACAACUGAAACUGACCCUUGGCUUGGUGCAGCUUGGAGCAUGCUUUUUUAUAUUGUUUAGAGAUGUUCAGAUUAAUGUUUUACUCCCUACUUAACUGGUUACACAACUGGCUUUACUUAGGUGAGUAGUGGGAUAUAAAAGACCCUGCUGUAAAGUUUUGCCCAGGCUCCCUUCAGAUCAAGACAGUUUAUGUGAAUCUUUGUGGUUCAUAACCUGAAAACAAAGCACAUUCUAUGUGCCUGAGAUGGGAUUCUAGGGGCUGGGAACCGUCACUGAUUACCUGUACUGUCCUUCUCCUGUUGUACCAUACCAUUUUCUUUUAAUAAAGACUUAUGUGAGUACACCUU